RNAcentral lists this small nuclear RNA (23 nucleotides) under Arabidopsis thaliana (thale cress). RNAcentral describes it as "snRNA_15199". The record is from RNAcentral. Lineage: Eukaryota; Viridiplantae; Streptophyta; Magnoliopsida; Brassicales; Brassicaceae.
AUGAACUUUUUUAAUGUAGGGUA